Molecule: ribosomal RNA, 485 nt
Filed under: uncultured bacterium
Lineage: Bacteria
Description: partial 16S ribosomal RNA
Rfam family: Bacterial small subunit ribosomal RNA
Source: RNAcentral
AUUGAACGCUGGCGGCAUGCCUUCACCUGCAAGUCGAACGGCAGCACGGGUGCUUUCACCUGGUGGCGAGUGGCGAACGGGGGAGUAAUACAUCGGAACAUGUCCUGUAGUGGGGGAUAGCCCGGCGAAAGCCGGAUUAAUACCGCAUACGAUCUACGGAUGAACGCGGGGUACCUUCGGGCCUCGCGCUAUUGGUGUGGCCUGUGGCUGAUUAGCUAGUUGGUGGGGUAAAGGCCUACCAAGGCGACGAUCAGUAGCUGGUCUGAGAGGACGACCAGCCACACUGGAACUGAGACACGGCCCAGACUCCUACGGGAGGCAGCAGUGGGGAAUUUUGGACAAUGGGCGAAAGCCUGAUCCAGCAAUGCCGCGUGUGUGAAGAAGGCCUUCGGGUUGUAAAGCACUUUUGUCCGGAAAGAAAUCCUUGGCCCUAAUACGGUCGGGGGAUGACGGUACCGGAAGAAUAAGCACCGGCUAACUACGUG